UUGAUGGAGAGUUUGAUUCUGGCUCAGAACGAACGCUGGCGGCGUGGAUAAGACAUGCAAGUCGAACGAGAGAAUUGCUAGCUUGCUAAUAAUUCUCUAGUGGCGCACGGGUGAGUAACACGUGAGUAACCUGCCCCCGAGAGCGGGAUAGCCCUGGGAAACUGGGAUUAAUACCGCAUAGUAUCGAAAGAUUAAAGCAGCAAUGCGCUUGGGGAUGGGCUCGCGGCCUAUUAGUUAGUUGGUGAGGUAACGGCUCACCAAGGCGAUGACGGGUAGCCGGUCUGAGAGGAUGUCCGGCCACACUGGAACUGAGACACGGUCCAGACACCUACGGGUGGCAGCAGUCGAGAAUCAUUCACAAUGGGGGAAACCCUGAUGGUGCGACGCCGCGUGGGGGAAUGAAGGUCUUCGGAUUGUAAACCCCUGUCAUGUGGGAGCAAAUUAAAAAGAUAGUACCACAAGAGGAAGAGACGGCUAACUCUGUGCCAGCAGCCGCGGUAAUACAGAGGUCUCAAGCGUUGUUCGGAAUCACUGGGCGUAAAGCGUGCGUAGGCUGUUUCGUAAGUCGUGUGUGAAAGGCGCGGGCUCAACCCGCGGACGGCACAUGAUACUGCGAGACUAGAGUAAUGGAGGGGGAACCGGAAUUCUCGGUGUAGCAGUGAAAUGCGUAGAUAUCGAGAGGAACACUCGUGGCGAAGGCGGGUUCCUGGACAUUAACUGACGCUGAGGCACGAAGGCCAGGGGAGCGAAAGGGAUUAGAUACCCCUGUAGUCCUGGCAGUAAACGGUGCACGCUUGGUGUGCGGGGAAUCGACCCCCUGCGUGCCGGAGCUAACGCGUUAAGCGUGCCGCCUGGGGAGUACGGUCGCAAGAUUAAAACUCAAAGAAAUUGACGGGGACCCGCACAAGCGGUGGAGUAUGUGGCUUAAUUCGAUGCAACGCGAAGAACCUUACCUGGGCUUGACAUGUAAUGAACAACAUGUGAAAGCAUGCGACUCUUCGGAGGCGUUACACAGGUGCUGCAUGGCCGUCGUCAGCUCGUGUCGUGAGAUGUUUGGUUAAGUCCAGCAACGAGCGCAACCCCUGUUGCCAGUUACCAGCACGUGAAGGUGGGGACUCUGGCGAGACUGCCCAGAUCAACUGGGAGGAAGGUGGGGACGACGUCAGGUCAGUAUGGCCCUUAUGCCCAGGGCUGCACACGUACUACAAUGCCCAGUACAGAGGGGGCCGAAGCCGCGAGGCGGAGGAAAUCCUGAAAACUGGGCCCAGUUCGGACUGUAGGCUGCAACCCGCCUACACGAAGCCGGAAUCGCUAGUAAUGGCGCAUCAGCUACGGCGCCGUGAAUACGUUCCCGGGUCUUGUACACACCGCCCGUCACAUCAUGGAAGCCGGUCGCACCCGAAGUAUCUGAAGCCAACCGCAAGGAGGCAGGGUCCUAAGGUGAGACUGGUAACUGGGAUGAAGUCGUAACAAGGUAGCCGUAGGGGAACCUGCGGCUGGAUCACCUCCUUU
RNAcentral lists this ribosomal RNA (1512 nucleotides) under Akkermansia muciniphila. RNAcentral describes it as "bacterial SSU rRNA". It matches the Rfam family "Bacterial small subunit ribosomal RNA". Lineage: Bacteria; Pseudomonadati; Verrucomicrobiota; Verrucomicrobiia; Verrucomicrobiales; Akkermansiaceae. The record is from RNAcentral.